This 200-nucleotide ribosomal RNA is filed under the name Escherichia coli. RNAcentral describes it as "partial 23S ribosomal RNA". It matches the Rfam family "Bacterial large subunit ribosomal RNA", at positions 2748 to 2925 of the family's 2925-position model. The record is from RNAcentral. Lineage: Bacteria; Pseudomonadati; Pseudomonadota; Gammaproteobacteria; Enterobacterales; Enterobacteriaceae.
GCUAAAUGCGGAAGAGAUAAGUGCUGAAAGCAUCUAAGCACGAAACUUGCCCCGAGAUGAGUUCUCCCUGACUCCUUGAGAGUCCUGAAGGAACGUUGAAGACGACGACGUUGAUAGGCCGGGUGUGUAAGCGCAGCGAUGCGUUGAGCUAACCGGUACUAAUGAACCGUGAGGCUUAACCUUACAACGCCGAAGCUGUU